UACGAAGGGGGCUAGCGUUGCUCGGAAUCACUGGGCGUAAAGCGCACGUAGGCGGCUUUUUAAGUCAGGGGUGAAAUCCUGGAGCUCAACUCCAGAACUGCCUUUGAUACUGAGAAGCUUGAGUCCGGGAGAGGUGAGUGGAACUGCGAGUGUAGAGGUGAAAUUCGUAGAUAUUCGCAAGAACACCAGUGGCGAAGGCGGCUCACUGGCCCGGUACUGACGCUGAGGUGCGAAAGCGUGGGGAGCAAACAGU
This 253-nucleotide ribosomal RNA is filed under the name uncultured bacterium. Its description in RNAcentral is "partial 16S ribosomal RNA". It matches the Rfam family "Bacterial small subunit ribosomal RNA", at positions 524 to 776 of the family's 1533-position model. The record is from RNAcentral.